Molecule: transfer-messenger RNA, 347 nt
Filed under: Clostridiales bacterium
Lineage: Bacteria; Bacillati; Bacillota; Clostridia; Eubacteriales
Also listed under: 1 other name
Rfam family: transfer-messenger RNA
About the family: Bacterial tmRNA, also known as 10Sa RNA or SsrA, is named for its dual tRNA and mRNA-like properties.
Source: RNAcentral
GGGGGCGUAAUGGUUUCGACAAGAAUUUCAAUUAACGGGCAGCGAGUAGCGGUGCGGGACCGCUAUAAAAUCCGCAAACAAAAAAUAAACGCCAACAAUAAAGUUGCGCUUGCAGCCUAAUUAAGGCUGCCGUCCGAACCCGGAGUACCGCGGCCGGGUAAGGGCGUCAAUUAGCGGUGAACGUGAGCCGGGAACUUCUCCAUUUCCGGCCAUGAAGUAGGAGAUACCGAAACUGCAAGCCUGACGGCCGGCGUGCAGUUGAGGGAAUGUCAAUAGACCGUCUGCACUCGGAGAAACCCGUUAGGAGAGAUUUUUGGACAGGGGUUCGACUCCCCUCGCCUCCACCA